Molecule: ribosomal RNA, 587 nt
Filed under: uncultured bacterium
Lineage: Bacteria
Description: bacterial SSU rRNA
Rfam family: Bacterial small subunit ribosomal RNA
Source: RNAcentral
CCUACGGGAGGCAGCAGUAGGGAAUCUUCCACAAUGGACGAAAGUCUGAUGGAGCAACGCCGCGUGAGCGAUGAAGGCCUUCGGGUCGUAAAGCUCUGUUGUUAGGGAAGAACAAGUACCGGAGUAACUGCCGGUACCUUGACGGUACCUAACCAGAAAGCCACGGCUAACUACGUGCCAGCAGCCGCGGUAAUACGUAGGUGGCAAGCGUUGUCCGGAAUUAUUGGGCGUAAAGCGCGCGCAGGCGGUCCUUUAAGUCUGAUGUGAAAGCCCACGGCUCAACCGUGGAGGGUCAUUGGAAACUGGGGGACUUGAGUGCAGAAGAGGAAAGCGGAAUUCCACGUGUAGCGGUGAAAUGCGUAGAGAUGUGGAGGAACACCAGUGGCGAAGGCGGCUUUCUGGUCUGUAACUGACGCUGAGGCGCGAAAGCGUGGGGAGCAAACAGGAUUAGAUACCCUGGUAGUCCACGCCGUAAACGAUGAGUGCUAAGUGUUAGAGGGUUUCCGCCCUUUAGUGCUGCAGCUAACGCAUUAAGCACUCCGCCUGGGGAGUACGGCCGCAAGGCUGAAACUCAAAGGAAUUGACGG